Molecule: ribosomal RNA, 447 nt
Filed under: Alcaligenaceae bacterium HU-2
Lineage: Bacteria; Pseudomonadati; Pseudomonadota; Betaproteobacteria; Burkholderiales; Alcaligenaceae
Description: bacterial SSU rRNA
Rfam family: Bacterial small subunit ribosomal RNA
Source: RNAcentral
AUUGAACGCUAGCGGGAUGCUUUACACAUGCAAGUCGAACGGCAGCGGGUCCUUCGGGAUGCCGGCGAGUGGCGAACGGGUGAGUAAUGUAUCGGAACGUGCCCAGUAGCGGGGGAUAACUACGCGAAAGCGUGGCUAAUACCGCAUACGCCCUUAGGGGGAAAGGCGGGGAUCCUUCGGGACCUGUCACUAUUGGAGCGGCCGAUAUCGGAUUAGCUAGUUGGUGGGGUAAUGGCCUACCAAGGCGACGAUCCGUAGCUGGUUUGAGAGGACGACCAGCCACACUGGGACUGAGACACGGCCCAGACUCCUACGGGAGGCAGCAGUGGGGAAUUUUGGACAAUGGGGGCAACCCUGAUCCAGCCAUCCCGCGUGUGCGAUGAAGGCCUUCGGGUUGUAAAGCACUUUUGGCAGGGAAGAAAUUGCUUGGGUUAAUAGCCUGGGCCG